Molecule: transfer RNA, 73 nt
Filed under: Candidatus Moranbacteria bacterium CG_4_9_14_3_um_filter_36_9
Lineage: Bacteria; Candidatus Moraniibacteriota
Also listed under: 1 other name
Description: tRNA-Thr
Rfam family: tRNA
About the family: Transfer RNA (tRNA) molecules are approximately 80 nucleotides in length. Their secondary structure includes four short double-helical elements and three loops (D, anti-codon, and T loops). Further hydrogen bonds mediate the characteristic L-shaped molecular structure. tRNAs have two regions of fundamental functional importance: the anti-codon, which is responsible for specific mRNA codon recognition, and the 3' end, to which the tRNAs corresponding amino acid is attached (by aminoacyl-tRNA synthetases). tRNAs cope with the degeneracy of the genetic code in two manners: having more than one tRNA (with a specific anti-codon) for a particular amino acid; and 'wobble' base-pairing, i.e. permitting non-standard base-pairing at the 3rd anti-codon position.
Source: RNAcentral
GCCGAGAUAGCUCAAUUGGCAGAGCAACUGUUUUGUAAACAGUAGGCUGUGGGUUCAACUCCCUCUCUCGGCU